RNAcentral lists this ribosomal RNA (469 nucleotides) under uncultured bacterium. Its description in RNAcentral is "partial 16S ribosomal RNA". It matches the Rfam family "Bacterial small subunit ribosomal RNA", at positions 28 to 507 of the family's 1533-position model. The record is from RNAcentral.
GAUGAACGCUGGCGGCGUGCUUAACACAUGCAAGUCGAACGGUGAACACGGAGCUUGCUCUGUGGGAUCAGUGGCGAACGGGUGAGUAACACGUGAGCAGCCUGCCCCUGACUCUGGGAUAAGCGCUGGAAACGGCGUCUAAUACUGGAUAUGUGACGUGACCGCAUGGUCUGCGUUUGGAAAGAUUUUUCGGUUGGGGAUGGGCUCGCGGCCUAUCAGCUUGUUGGUGAGGUAAUGGCUCACCAAGGCGUCGACGGGUAGCCGGCCUGAGAGGGUGACCGGCCACACUGGGACUGAGACACGGCCCAGACUCCUACGGGAGGCAGCAGUGGGGAAUAUUGCACAAUGGGCGCAAGCCUGAUGCAGCAACGCCGCGUGAGGGAUGACGGCCUUCGGGUUGUAAACCUCUUUUAGCGGGGAAGAAGCGAAAGUGACGGUACCUGCAGAAAAAGCGCCGGCUAACUACGUG